Molecule: ribosomal RNA, 253 nt
Filed under: uncultured bacterium
Lineage: Bacteria
Description: partial 16S ribosomal RNA
Rfam family: Bacterial small subunit ribosomal RNA
Source: RNAcentral
UACGGAGGGGGCUAGCGUUGUUCGGAAUUACUGGGCGUAAAGCGCACGUAGGCGGCGAUUUAAGUCAGAGGUGAAAGCCCGGGGCUCAACCCCGGAAUUGCCUUUGAGACUGGAUUGCUAGAAUCACGGAGAGGUGGGUGGAAUUCCGAGUGUAGAGGUGAAAUUCGUAGAUAUUCGGAAGAACACCAGUGGCGAAGGCGGCCCACUGGACGUGUAUUGACGCUGAGGUGCGAAAGCGUGGGGAGCAAACAGG